This 254-nucleotide ribosomal RNA is filed under the name uncultured bacterium. RNAcentral's name for it is "partial 16S ribosomal RNA". It matches the Rfam family "Bacterial small subunit ribosomal RNA", at positions 524 to 777 of the family's 1533-position model. The record is from RNAcentral.
UACGUAGGGACCGAGCGUUGUCCGGAAUCAUUGGGCGUAAAGAGCGUGUAGGCGGCCAGGUAGGUCUGCUGUGAAAACUCGAGGCUCAACCUCGAGACGUCGGCGGAAACCAUCUGGCUAGAGUCCGGAAGAGGAGAGUGGAAUUCCUGGUGUAGCGGUGAAAUGCGCAGAUAUCGGGAAGAACACCCGUGGCGAAGGCGGCACUCUGGGACGGUACUGACGCUGAGACGCGAAAGCGUGGGGAGCGAACGAGG